CAGUUCACUACCAAUACCCAGAUAUAAGAGCAUGACAGAAGAUAAAGCAGGGAGAAAUGAAGGUGGAAAAAAGUAUUGCUCCCCUCCAGCAACACCAAGGACAAGCUUAACUGAUUUCUUUGUGGCUACCACUUAGUGACAUGUAA
Molecule: long non-coding RNA, 146 nt
Filed under: Coturnix japonica (Japanese quail)
Lineage: Eukaryota; Metazoa; Chordata; Aves; Galliformes; Phasianidae
Description: lncRNA (ENSCJPG00005010098.1)
Source: RNAcentral